RNAcentral lists this ribosomal RNA (468 nucleotides) under uncultured bacterium. Its description in RNAcentral is "partial 16S ribosomal RNA". It matches the Rfam family "Bacterial small subunit ribosomal RNA", at positions 28 to 507 of the family's 1533-position model. The record is from RNAcentral.
GACGAACGCUGGCGGCGUGCUUAACACAUGCAAGUCGAACGGAAAGGCCCUGCUUUUGUUGGGUGCUCGAGUGGCGAACGGGUGAGUAACACGUGUGUAACCUGCCCUUGACUUUGGGAUAUCUUCUGGAAAUUGGGGCUAAUACCGCAUAGUAGCUCCUGCUGCACGGUGUGGGUUGGAAAGUUGCGGCGGUUGGGGAUGGACUCGCGGCUUAUCAGCUUGCUGGUGGGGUAGUGGCUUAGCUAGGCUGUGACGGAUAGCCGGCCUGAGAGGGUGACCGGCGACAUUGCGACUGAGAUUCGGCGCAGACUCCGACGGGAAGCAGCAGUGGUGAGUAGUGCACAGAGGGCGGAAGGCUGAGGCGGCGACGCCGGGUGCGGGAUGAUGGCCUUCGGGUUAUAAACCGCUUGCGCCUGGGAUGAAGCGGUAGUGACGGUAAUGGGUAAAGAAGCACCGGCUAACUACGUG